UUUCUUUUCUUGUUCUUGUUAGUAACUUGUUUUAAGAACUUCAUUAAAGAAAAUCAUAAGAAGAUUAUAAAAAUAAUAUAGAUUGAGAAUAACGUGGACAAAAUGGAAAGUAAAACAAAAGCAAAAAUAAAUUCAUGUAAAUAACAUAAAUUAGUAAAUGUAAAGCAAAGAAAGAAUGGACGAAAAUAAAAUAUAAAAUAAAAAUGGACACCAACCAUACUCACCGGCGGUAUUGCUCAAGGACGCGAGCGUCGCCAGGCCUUGGAGGUUCGCAGGGUUAAUUUCUGGCGGGCUUGGUACGGCGGGGGCAGCCGCAUGCGCAGGAGUCGCCGCGCCGAGGCCAAGGUGUUGUUGCAGUAACAAUUGAUGCUGUACGCUCGACAACGCGCUUGCACCAGCACCUGCCGCGACCGGAGUCGCCGCGCUCGUUGUCGCCUGAAGUUGUUGCAACAGUUGCAAUGAGGCUGGCGCCAAAGCAGGCGUGUCGUUCUGCAAACAAACGAGAAACCGACUUUGGAAGAAGGAUGAGCGAUGCGUGAUGCAACGAGAGGAGAACCGGUUGGACACGUGGUUUUCUCGUGCCUCUCAAUUUGUCUGCUUGAGGAACGAAGAGGCGCGAGGCAAACACACUUGACGUGACUUCACGAGAAACGAACCGUUUUACGAUUGAAUAUAAUAUCGCGAAGCUCGCGCCAUAUAUAGUUAGAGAUUGACGGAAAUAGAAAGAAUAAAUUGUUUUCCAACGAAGGUAUUGUUGUAUACGGACAAGAGUCGAGUUUCAGCCUGAAAUAAAAAGAGGGUCGAUUGUGUCUGCCUGUUCGAUCUUGAGACGUAUCUUUCAACGUAAUAAUACAGAUCUACGAGAAGAACAGAGAAGGAAGGACUCAAUAC
This 891-nucleotide unclassified non-coding RNA is filed under the name Bombus terrestris (buff-tailed bumblebee). RNAcentral's name for it is "misc RNA ENSBTSG00005024637.1". Lineage: Eukaryota; Metazoa; Arthropoda; Insecta; Hymenoptera; Apidae. The record is from RNAcentral.